Molecule: ribosomal RNA, 271 nt
Filed under: Segatella bryantii
Lineage: Bacteria; Pseudomonadati; Bacteroidota; Bacteroidia; Bacteroidales; Prevotellaceae
Description: partial 16S ribosomal RNA
Rfam family: Bacterial small subunit ribosomal RNA
Source: RNAcentral
ACAAUGGAGAGUUUGAUCCUGGCUCAGGAUGAACGCUAGCUACAGGCUUAACACAUGCAAGUCGAGGGGUAACAUGAAGAAAGCUUGCUUUCUUUGAUGACGACCGGCGCACGGGUGAGUAUCGCGUAUCCAACCUGCCCAUAAGUAGGGAAUAGCCUUGCGAAAGUAAGAUUAAUGCCCUAUGGUUUCCAUUAAAGACAUCUGAGAUGGAAUAAAGAUUUAUCGCUUAUGGAUGGGGAUGCGUCUGAUUAGGUAGUAGGCGGGGUAACGG